UACGUAGGGGGCAAGCGUUAUCCGGAAUUAUUGGGCGUAAAGAGUACGUAGGUGGCAACCUAAGCGCAGGGUUUAAGGCAAUGGCUCGACCAUUGUUCGCCCUGCGAACUGGGAUGCUUGAGUGCAGGAGAGGAAAGCGGAAUUCCUAGUGUAGCGGUGAAAUGCGUAGAUAUUAGGAGGAACACCAGUGGCGAAGGCGGCUUUCUGGGCUGUAACUGACACUGAGGUACGAAAGCGUGGGGAGCAAACAGG
This 252-nucleotide ribosomal RNA is filed under the name uncultured bacterium. RNAcentral's name for it is "partial 16S ribosomal RNA". It matches the Rfam family "Bacterial small subunit ribosomal RNA", at positions 524 to 776 of the family's 1533-position model. The record is from RNAcentral.